RNAcentral lists this ribosomal RNA (367 nucleotides) under uncultured bacterium. RNAcentral describes it as "bacterial SSU rRNA". It matches the Rfam family "Bacterial small subunit ribosomal RNA", at positions 527 to 896 of the family's 1533-position model. The record is from RNAcentral.
GUAGAAGGCAAACGUUAUUCGGAUUUACUGGGCGUACAGCGGGUGUAGACGGUUUGGUAAGUCGAAUGUGAAAUCUCCAGACUUAAUCAGGAGCGGUCGUUGGAUACUAAUAGGCUAGAGGUCGGCAGAGGAAAGCGGAAUUCCCGGUGUAGCGGUGAAAUGCGUAGAGAUCGGGAGGAAGGCCGGUGGCGAAGGCGGCGCUCUGGAACGUUUCUGACGCUGAGGCUCGAAAGCGUGGGGAGCAAACAGGAUUAGAUACCCUGGUAGUCCACGCCUUAAACUAUGAAUACUAAGUGUCGGCAGUUUACUGCCGGUGCCGCAGCUAACGCAUUAAGUAUUCCGCCUGGGAAGUACGGCCGCAAGGUUG